CACAAAUUCUUGUGCAGGAGUCAUGGAGAUCAAUGAACACACCCUUUAGCACUUUCUGCUGUCAGUUACAUGGCUCAUUCUCCAUUGACAGACAGAAUAGAGGAAUUCACUGGAAAGGAGAACCACUUCACAGCAACGUUUUACAAGAAGCCUGAUGGUGGGAUGGAGCCCGUCAUUCAUAUUAAUGAGACAUGCAUGGAAGUGGCAAUGAGCAUGUGGAGUGUGGCUAAAAGAAAUGUGGUUCUUCACUUGGAGCUGAUGUGAAACACAGGCAAUCUGUUGGCCUACUGAGAGGAACUUCUUUUAAAAGCCAAGAACAAGAAUACCACCCAAAGACAUCUGUUCCUCUCAUCCUUUAGUGAAGUGCAGAUGGAGAUUCCUACAUGGUUUUGUUGUCAUCAAUACCUUCAAGUGUUUCCUUCAGAAAAUCCUUUGGUGGAGAGUUUAAUACAGUAGGGAGGAAGCUUUUAGGUAUGUAUAAUAUUUCCUUUUCUGUCAUUAAAUAUUAAAACUUUUGUUGGAAUGCAUUCUAAGCAUCAUCUUUGGUAAAGAUUUUAUUCAACUCACCCAUCUG
This 574-nucleotide long non-coding RNA is filed under the name Homo sapiens (human). RNAcentral's name for it is "HSALNT0370007". Lineage: Eukaryota; Metazoa; Chordata; Mammalia; Primates; Hominidae. The record is from RNAcentral.